Molecule: ribosomal RNA, 348 nt
Filed under: Triticum aestivum (bread wheat)
Lineage: Eukaryota; Viridiplantae; Streptophyta; Magnoliopsida; Poales; Poaceae
Description: partial small subunit ribosomal RNA
Source: RNAcentral
AUGUGGCCAGUGUCACCCAAUCCUAGGCCAGUGCCUCCUGAAUAUGUUAGGUUGCCAGGAAGGCCUAAAAACAAUGAUAGGAGAAGAGAAGAAACUGAGCAACCUAAGGGGAAGAAAAUGAGCAAGCAUGGCACAAUUAUCAAAUGCUCAUUGUGUGGUAACCCUGGACACAACAAAUCAGGAUGUAAGCAGAAUCCAGAGAGAGGCAAGAAAAAAAAUGCUCAUCUUGCUAGAACUAGCAAGAAAAAGAACCCAACUGAGGUAUUUGUUGCUGUAAUGUACUUAUCUAUGGCAUAUUUAUCCUGCUUAUUGCUCUUGCAUUGGAACUUAUUGCAUAUUUAUCCUUAA